AGAGUUUGAUCCUGGCUCAGAACGAACGCUGGCGGCAGGCCUAAUACAUGCAAGUCGAGCGCAUCCCUCGGGAUGAGCGGCGGACGGGUGAGUAACGCGUGGGAAUAUGCCCUUCUCUAAGGAAUAGCCUCUGGAAACGGAGAGUAAUACCUUAUACGCCCUUCGGGGGAAAGAUUUAUCGGAGAAGGAUUAGCCCGCGUUAGAUUAGGUAGUUGGUGGGGUAAUGGCCUACCAAGCCUACGAUCUAUAGCUGGUUUGAGAGGAUGAUCAGCCACACUGGGACUGAGACACGGCCCAGACUCCUACGGGAGGCAGCAGUAGGGAAUCUUAGACAAUGGGGGAAACCCUGAUCUAGCCAUGCCGCGUGUGUGAUGAAGGCCUUAGGGUCGUAAAGCACUUUCGCCAGAGAUGAUAAUGACAGUAUCUGGUAAAGAAACCCCGGCUAACUCCGUGCCAGCAGCCGCGGUAAUACGGAGGGGGUUAGCGUUGUUCGGAAUUACUGGGCGUAAAGCGCACGUAGGCGGAUUAGUAAGUUAGAGGUGAAAUCCCAGGGCUCAACCCUGGAACUGCCUUUAAUACUGCUAGUCUUGAGUUCGAGAGAGGUAAGUGGAAUUCCAAGUGUAGAGGUGAAAUUCGUAGAUAUUUGGAGGAACACCAGUGGCGAAGGCGGCUUACUGGCUCGAUACUGACGCUGAGGUGCGAAAGUGUGGGGAGCAAAUAGGAUUAGAUACCCUGGUAGUCCACACCGUAAACGAUGAAUGCCAGACGUCAGCAAGUAUACUU
Molecule: ribosomal RNA, 783 nt
Filed under: uncultured bacterium
Lineage: Bacteria
Description: bacterial SSU rRNA
Rfam family: Bacterial small subunit ribosomal RNA
Source: RNAcentral